UAGCGAAAUUCCUUGUCGGGUAAGUUCCGACCUGCACGAAUGGCGUAACGAUGGCGGCGCUGUCUCCACCCGAGACUCAGUGAAAUUGAAAUCGCUGUGAAGAUGCAGUGUAUCCGCGGCUAGACGGUAAAGACCCCGUGAACCUUUACUGUAGCUUUGCACUGGACUUUGAGCCUGCUUGUGUAGGAUAGGUGGGAGGCUUUGAAGCGUGGACGCCAGU
RNAcentral lists this ribosomal RNA (220 nucleotides) under Pseudomonas sp. ATCC 13867. RNAcentral's name for it is "partial 23S ribosomal RNA". It matches the Rfam family "Bacterial large subunit ribosomal RNA", at positions 1957 to 2175 of the family's 2925-position model. Lineage: Bacteria; Pseudomonadati; Pseudomonadota; Gammaproteobacteria; Pseudomonadales; Pseudomonadaceae. The record is from RNAcentral.